AAAAAACCGACACAGGUGGACUGGUAGAGAAUACCAAGGCGCUUGAGCGAAGUGUGCUGAAGGAACUCGGCAAAUUACCUGCGUAACUUCGGGAGAAGCAGGCCGUCAUUUUGGGCAACCAGAGUGGCGGGGCACAGACCAGGGGGUGGCGACUGUUUACCUAAAACACAGGGCUAUGCUAAGUCCAACGACGACGUAUAUGGCCUGACGCCUGCCCGGUGCUGGAAGGUUAAGAGGAGAAGUGCAAGCCUUGAAUCGAAGCCCCAGUAAACGGCGGCCGUAACAAUAACGGUCCUAAGGUAGCGAAAUUCCUUGUCGGGUAAGUUCCGACCUGCACGAAUGGCGUAACGACUUCCCCACUGUCUCCAGCACACACUCAGUGAAAUUGAAUUCCCCGUGAAGAUGCGGGGUUCCUGCGGUUAGACGGAAAGACCCCGUGCACCUUUACUGUAGCUUUACACUGGCAACCGUGUUUGCAUGUGUAGGAUAGGUGGUAGGCUUUGAAGCAGGGGCGCCAGCUCUUGUGGAGCCGCAAUGUGAAAUACCACCCUUAUGAACAUGGUUGUCUAACCGCGGACCGUCAUCCGGUCCCGGGACAUUGUAUGGUAGGCAGUUUGACUGGGGCGGUCGCCUCCUAAAUUGUAACGGAGGCGUGCGAAGGUGGGCUCAGGUUGGUCGGAAAUCAACCGUCGAGUGCAAUGGCAUAAGCCCGCCUGACUGCGAGACUGACAAGUCGAGCAGAGUCGAAAGACGGCCAUAGUGAUCCGGUGGUUCUGUGUGGAAGGGCCAUCGCUCAACGAAUAAAAGGUACGCCGGGGAUAACAGGCUGAUGAUUCCCAAGAGUCCAUAUCGACGGAAUCGUUUGGCACCUCGAUGUCGGCUCAUCUCAUCCUGGGGCUGGAGCAGGUCCCAAGGGUAUGGCUGUUCGCCAUUUAAAGAGGUACGUGAGCUGGGUUCAGAACGUCGCGAGACAGUUCGGUCCCUAUCUGCCGUAGGCGUUGGAGAAUUGAGAGGAUCUGACCUUAGUACGAGAGGACCGGGUUGGACGCACCUCUGGUGGACCUGUUGUCGCGCCAGCGGCACAGCAGGGUAGCUAUGUGCGGACGGGAUAACCGCUGAAGGCAUCUAAGCGGGAAACCCACCUCGAGAUGAUUUCUCCCUUGAGAGCCGUUGUAGACCACAGCGUUGAUAGGCCGGGUGUGGAAGUGCAGCAAUGCAUGUAGCUUACCGGUACUAAUAGCUC
RNAcentral lists this ribosomal RNA (1243 nucleotides) under metagenome. Its description in RNAcentral is "bacterial LSU rRNA". It matches the Rfam family "Bacterial large subunit ribosomal RNA", at positions 1648 to 2910 of the family's 2925-position model. The record is from RNAcentral.